RNAcentral lists this long non-coding RNA (1035 nucleotides) under Fragaria vesca (wild strawberry). Its description in RNAcentral is "long non-coding RNA (FVES_LNC004254)". Lineage: Eukaryota; Viridiplantae; Streptophyta; Magnoliopsida; Rosales; Rosaceae. The record is from RNAcentral.
GACCGGGAGAUGGAGAGGGAGGAGGGAGGAGGCAGAGACCGGGAGAGGGAGGAGGGAGGAGACCAGGACCGGGAGGAGGGAGGAGGGAGGAGGGAGGAGGCGGAGACGGGAGAGGGAGGGAGGAGGCUAGGGUUUUUCUGCUGUGGAGCAGUUAAACCCGAAAACUUUAGCCGACGAAAUAAUUAUUUCGUCGGCUAAAGAUAAGAAUCUCGUCGGCUAAGAAUCAAUUCGUCGGCUAAACCUUCUAAAUUCGUCGGCUAAAACUUUGAAAUUCGUCGGCUAAACCUUUGAAAUUCGUCGGCUAAAGUAUUUUAUACAUUUGGCACAUUGUGAUUGUGAUGAUCAAACUUGAGAAAAAGAAAUCCGACCGUCCGAUCUGACCACCAUGACAAAAUACAUGUAUGGGAAAAAAUUCAACUUGAUCUGAAAAGAAUAAGGGCUCGAUCCGAACGGUCAAUCUCGUAAGUCAAACCCCUAAACGCACGGAAAAGGUCGUUCGACCGUCUAAAUUACGUAUUUUGGCCGGACCUUCAACUGAAAAUAGUUUUAAAUCGAUGACACGCAACAAGUCGUAUAAAAAUUUUACGCAAAAUAACCACCGAAUAUAGGGCUACUCAUAGGGGGAAAGAAUGAAAAAAUUGUAUUGACCGCAACUAUCGGCACCGAAUAUUUACCAGAAUAGUGUGAUUUUUCAACCGUGGAUGUAUUUCAACAUUCUCGUCAUAUCUUAUUUCAUGACUUUUUUGCGUUUGAAGGUUUUACGUAUAGUUUGUUUUUGAAACGGAACAUUUACAUAACACUUGGUAAACAAGUUAUACAACAUUAGUAUGCAUGUUGUGAUUGUGAUGAUCAAACUUGAGAAACAGAAAUCCGACCGUCAGAUCUGACCACCAUGACAAAAUACAUGUAUGGGCAAAAAUUCAACUUGAUCCGACAAGAAUAAGGGCUCGAUCCGGACGGUCAAUCUCGUAAGUCAAACCCCUAAACGCACGGAAAAGGUCGUUCGACCGUCUAAAUUACGUAUUUGGUCCGGAC